This 253-nucleotide ribosomal RNA is filed under the name uncultured bacterium. Its description in RNAcentral is "partial 16S ribosomal RNA". It matches the Rfam family "Bacterial small subunit ribosomal RNA", at positions 524 to 776 of the family's 1533-position model. The record is from RNAcentral.
UACGGGGGGGGCAAGCGUUGUUCGGAAUUACUGGGCGUAAAGGGCUCGUAGGCGGCCAACUAAGUCCGACGUGAAAUCCCAAGGCUUAACCUUGGAACUGCGUCGGAUACUGGAUGGCUUGAAUUCGGGAGAGGGAUGCAAAAUUCCAGGCGUAGCGGUGAAAUGCGUAGAUAUCUGGAGGAAUACCGGUGGCGAAGGCGGCAUCCUGGACCGACAUUGACGCUGAUGAGCGAAAGCUAGGGGAGCAAACGGG